GCACCAGGCUCAGCUGUUGUCAGUGUUUCCUGACUUCUCUCAACCUUUUCUUCUGUUUGCCCAUAGGCCUGCUUUAAGGCUGGUCGGUUCUUCAGCAAAACAAGAGGAGGAGACAGGCUCCGGCUCAGAUCUCUGGAGGCUGGACCCCUGCAGUCGGCUGUAGGGCUUCAUACCACCUGAACAAAGAAAGGAGUGGAAAUUGCAUCACACCAGUGCAGGUUUGUAUGGAUGUGGGUUCACCUUUGGGUGGAGUAGUGGAGACCAGCUGGGUGAUUAGGG
RNAcentral lists this long non-coding RNA (279 nucleotides) under Chinchilla lanigera (long-tailed chinchilla). RNAcentral's name for it is "lncRNA (ENSCLAG00000026995.1)". Lineage: Eukaryota; Metazoa; Chordata; Mammalia; Rodentia; Chinchillidae. The record is from RNAcentral.